Molecule: ribosomal RNA, 253 nt
Filed under: uncultured bacterium
Lineage: Bacteria
Description: partial 16S ribosomal RNA
Rfam family: Bacterial small subunit ribosomal RNA
Source: RNAcentral
UACGUAGGGGGCUAGCGUUGUCCGGAUUUAUUGGGCGUAAAGAGCGUGUAGGCGGCCAUACAGGUCCGUUGUGAAAACUCGAGGCUCAACCUCGAGACGUCGAUGGAAACCGUAUGGCUAGAGUCCGGAAGAGGAGAGUGGAAUUCCUGGUGUAGCGGUGAAAUGCGCAGAUAUCAGGAAGAACACCCGUGGCGAAGGCGGCUCUCUGGGACGGUACUGACGCUGAGACGCGAAAGCGUGGGGAGCGAACAGG